ACAUUUUGGGGAAAAAUAAAGUUAACUCACUUCUUACCAUAGACCAACAUUAAUUCUGGUGCAUUAAAGAAAUAAACUAAAUAAAUAAGUAGAUUAUGAAGAAAAUAAGAGAUUAACAGACACUUUAUAGUUUUUCUCGAGAUUUGGACUUUCUGAACAUAAAAGCUAUGGGAGAAAUCACAAUGGAAUAGAUUGGUAUAUUUGCGACAUGAUGCUAGUUACUUUAACUUAUUGAGUGGUUGGUGUGUUGUGCCAGGUAUCAUUGGUGGUGUGCCAGGCAUCAUGCUAUAUGCUUUCUAUAUGUCUUAAUUUGAUGAAAUCUCAUCAUCCCCCAUAAGCUAUUAAGAUGCUCAUCUUAUAGAGAAGAAAACUAAGGCAGAAAAAAGUUAAAGUAAUUUGAUGAAAAUCACACAUCACAGAGAUGUCAGAGCCAAGAGUCAAAUGCAUCAUAGAGGCCAGAGUCUCUGUUCUUCACUACUGUGCUCUUUAAUCUGCUAUAAAAACACACAAAACAUCUGCACAUCAAAAAUAAAAUGGAAUAAAAGCCAUAAAGUAAAAGGCAAAUAACAAAUUGAGAAAAAUAUUUUCAACAAAUAUCACCACAAAUGUAUAUCCUUUAUAUUAGCUCCUCCUCUUGUGACCCCACCUUCUUACUUCAUUUGUCAUUGUAUAAAGAAUACUUCCUGAGUGUGCGUGUGAAUGUGUGUUUGUGUAAUCGCUUUAUAAAUCAACAAAAAUACUCAAAUGGAAACUAAAUGGGCAAUAACAUGAUCAGAAACUUCAUUAAAAAAUAAAUGGACUCAAACAAAUAUAUAUACAAUCUUACUAGUAACCAAAUAAUAUCUAAAUAAAUCAUCAUGUUAUUUCCCACCAAAUCAGAAAAUAUUCACUUGUGUAUUAGUACAAGUUUUCUGGAAGCAAUUAGCCUACAUAUAUCAAGAAUAUUUUAAAAGUUGGAAAUAAAAGACUUUUUCAGAUCUAUCAAUUCUGCUAUUGGCUGCCUCUUCUAUGGAAAUUUUCUGAGAGUUGUAUAAGAGUAAAUUCAUAGAAGUAACAUUAAUAGAAGUAACAUUAAGAGAAGCAAGUUUCUCAGAAUAAACUAAACGUACAAUCAGGGAUAGGUAAGUCAGUCCUGUGAUACCCAUAGCAUAAGUUUCUGAAAAAACACAUUUUCAUGUAAUAUUUAAUAAUGUGGGAAAAUGUCCCUGAUAGAAAAUCAGUUGAAAUAUAGUAAUAGUCAUCCUAUAGAGGUGAGAUAGAUAUUUUAAGGAGGUCUCAUAACAGACAAAAUAAGCUUUCAGUUUCUGCCAUUCCCAGUCUAUACCUAAAACUCUCAAAACAAAAUCACUUUGAGUGGCUGAUACAGUGUGGGCCGGCUUCCCUUUGUGCCUUUCAUUCUCAGCUAAUUCAUUUGAAUCCCACGUUAAGCUUUGGAGAAGUCAAAGGAACGAGACGGAAAAUGGAAAGAUGAAGCUCUCUGUCCCACCCUAGACCAAGUCUCUCCGAUCCUUUCUCUCCAUUCUCAUUGUUACUGAGAAUGCCUCUUGCAUUGUGGCCACAAGCCCUUAGUUAAUGUCCUCCUCCCUCCUCCCUCUGUUUUAGGUAGAUAUUUUUUGAAGACUUUUUCUCCUAGUCCUGGAUCUCCUUGAAAACAGCUUCCUGAGCAUUGCCCUAAAUGGAAAGUAAAAGUAAAAGAAUGCUUAAAAUUUUUACCAGGACCUUGUUGCUAAGCAACCAUUUUCUUUGUCUCUAAGUAUAUGAAAUAUGACAUUGUUUGGAAUGUGCUCAAUACAAAGGAUCAAGGUUGGGGAGCAGGGAGGAGGUAAGGGAGGAGGUGGUAGUAAAGAAACCUUUAGACUGAAAAAUGUAAAGAUACAAUAUGAAAGGAGAAAAAAAACAACAAAAGAACCCACCAUGGAAGUUUCAACCCACCACCACCACAUGGUGCCAAAAACUUCAAAAUGGAACAUUUCUUAUAUUGGCACAUAUUUUUGUGAGAACAAACAUAUGGUUGUGAGCAUAUUCUUACCUUCAUUGUGAUCUGCAUAUUUCCUCUCUGCAGGAAAAUUUAAAUGCACUGUUGACAUCGUUUUAUAGUCACAUAAGAAGAAAGCAGGCAAAGAAAUGUUAUGAUUGGACUUAUUCAUGAGAUACCACAGUCUCUAAUAUAUGAAGUUUUUCAUAUUUACACUACUGGUGAAUCUCUAGUUGUAUACCUGCCUCUGUGGUCUCAUUGUUGGUCCCUAGGAUAGCUUAUAAAUAAAAACAGAUGAUACUGUCUACUGGCCAGAACAAGCUCACAACUCACUUUCUACUCCAUUCUCAAGUGUAAGUAUCAUUUUUACUUGGUUGAGGGCAAGAACCCUAAUUGGGCAGCUUUUACUAAGGAAUGAAAAAAACUUUAGCAGAAUAUAAAUAAGCCUAGACAGACGGAGACUUUUUGUUUCUCUUGCCAAGUGGGCAGCUCUGGUGAAAAUUUUUUUUCAUCAUUAGGAUCACACACAAUCCAAAAAUUUGGUAUAGUUAGGGAGACUGGGAUGGAGAAGUCCAUUUAGCUUUCUAUGUUU
Molecule: long non-coding RNA, 2567 nt
Filed under: Homo sapiens (human)
Lineage: Eukaryota; Metazoa; Chordata; Mammalia; Primates; Hominidae
Description: HSALNT0364281
Source: RNAcentral